Molecule: transfer RNA, 76 nt
Filed under: Candidatus Vogelbacteria bacterium CG10_big_fil_rev_8_21_14_0_10_50_13
Lineage: Bacteria; Candidatus Vogeliibacteriota
Description: tRNA-Lys
Rfam family: tRNA
About the family: Transfer RNA (tRNA) molecules are approximately 80 nucleotides in length.
Source: RNAcentral
CCGCCCAUAGCUCAGUUGGUAGAGCAGUCGCCUCUUAAGCGAACGGUCGUAGGUUCGAAUCCUACUGGGCGGACAA